Molecule: ribosomal RNA, 462 nt
Filed under: uncultured bacterium
Lineage: Bacteria
Description: partial 16S ribosomal RNA
Rfam family: Bacterial small subunit ribosomal RNA
Source: RNAcentral
AAUGAACGUUGGCGGCAUGGAUUAGGCAUGCAAGUCGGGGGAAUCCCAGCAAUGGGGGAACCGGCGUAAGGGGCAGUAAGGCAUGGGUACCUACCUUGGGGUUCGGGAUAGCCAUCAGAGAUGGUGGGUAAUACCGGAUGACGUCGUGAGACCAAAGAUUCAUCGCCCUUAGAGGGGCCCAUGUGAUAUUAGCUAGUUGGUGGGGUAACGGCCCACCAAGGCGAAGAUGUCUAGCGGGUGUGGGAGCACGACCCGCGCCACUCGCCCUGGGACACUGGCGAGACACCUACGGGUGGCUGCAGUCGAGGAUCUUCGGCAAUGAGCGCAAGCUUGACCGAGCGAUGCCGCGUGAGCGAUGAAGGCCUUCGGGUUGUAAAGCUCUUUAGUGGGGGAGAAAAGCCGCAAGGUGUGAUCUAUCCCAAAAAUAAGCACGGGCUAAGUUCGUGCCAGCCGCCGCGGUAA